AAAGAAGGAAAAAAGAGAUACAUUACAAAUUUUCUCAUUAGUAUCUCUUGAAGACACAAUCUAGGGCAUAAUUUUCAAGCACACUUAUUUCUUGCUUGAUAUGCAGAUACCAACUUUUACGACCUUCAUUCACUUAGUUUAGGACUGUGCUUACAAAUGUUUCGAACUACCCAGUGACUGUUACAAUAUUAUAGCCAAAUUAAGGACUGGGACUAUUUUUCUUUGUUAUAUGUGAUUAAUGUCGGAAAACUUCAGCUCAUAUACUCUAAAUAAGUAUUUUCAAACUUACACAUCUUUGGCUUAUCAUAAUUGAGCAGAGUCCUAAGUUUGAAAAUUGAAAUGCAA
RNAcentral lists this unclassified non-coding RNA (345 nucleotides) under Hevea brasiliensis (rubber tree). The record is from RNAcentral. Lineage: Eukaryota; Viridiplantae; Streptophyta; Magnoliopsida; Malpighiales; Euphorbiaceae.